This is a non-coding RNA of Cucurbita pepo subsp. pepo (vegetable marrow), 2708 nucleotides long. The record is from RefSeq and is a predicted model, not a curated record. Lineage: Eukaryota; Viridiplantae; Streptophyta; Magnoliopsida; Cucurbitales; Cucurbitaceae.
GUAGAAAAGGAAAAGUGAAAUGAUGAAUACGCAGCUGCACAUCGGUGACGAGAAGUUUCAUUGUCUGGUAUGUGAGCAACAAAUUAUUUGUUCAGAUGAACAGAUGUCGACUUCAAAUGGUGAAAAGUUUGGUUCACAAAAUGCCAUGCAAUUUGAAAAUGUAAAGAUGUUAAAGAACAUACAAGAUUCUGCUUAUCUUACAUCUUUUUUCAAUCUCUUUCUUCAUCGUCUUUUCUUAUGGAUAUAAAACUGUGAACACCUCUGCCUCUCUCUCAUCUCUGUGUUGAUGAAAGUUUUAACAAAAUUUUUUUUUUUUCUCUCAGUGGUCUUAAUGGAUUUCUCAGUUGAUGGAAGCACAGUGAUUGAGGUCAGUUUUAGCUUUUGUACCAGGACACUUCCUUUAGAGAUGAUUUUUUUGUCUGCCGUCUAGGCACCAAUCCCAAUUACUCUUUAGAAAAGAAUCUUAAACUAUAAUCUCAUCAGCAGGUGUGAACGUCCCCAUCUCAUUAAACAUGUGAAUGGAGGAUUGGGUCAAAGCCCAAACAGCCCACGGUCGACCGUCCUCUUUGGUUGCGCCUCUUUUCUUCUUGUCCGGCCAAUUCCGGUCGUCUAUCCAACAUUCCAUCCACGCAGGAAACCCAACUUCAUCUUAGCGAGGUAAGUUUCACUAAGCUCCUUCAAACCUCCCUUUCAAAUGAACUCUUUUUCAUUGUUGUCUGAAGAUCAAUAUCAAAUACGUUCCCUUCUCCAAAAUUUGAGCACAACCGUUCUCAUCCAAACCAAAGCCUAAAGAUUCUGAACUUUUUGGACUUUCAGCAUGUCAAGCACUUAUACCAAUUUUUCAAACAAACUCAUGAAAGAAUCAUGGGCUAUGUUUAUACACUCUCUCUUAUCCUUCGAUCAAAAGAUUAGACAAAAAUUCACACAAUGUCUUCUAAUUCGUUAUUAUGGCCCACCUCCAUUUAUGAUCUUCACAUGUAACCUAAUCUCCCCAGCAUUAUUCUUUUCUUCCCAACCACACCAAUUUCUGACCCUUUUCAGUAGACAUGCUCACAAUAAAUGGACCACUGACAUUUCUCGUCGCCUUUUGUAUAGGCUACAGUUAACUUCAGUUGUAUUUUAUUGCUUAGAUUAUAGUUAAUUCAUCAUUGUCAUAGUCAUGUGACCGUCACCGUUACCACCAUUGCCUACUCUAUUAGGCUACACAAUCAUACAUCAAUAUUUGUAGUAGUAUGCUAGGCUAGCUUAAACUAUGUUUACGUUCACAUAUUUCUUUCUCAUUUUUAGUCUAUAAUAAUUUGUGUUUUGAUCUUGAACAACAAAUUUCUUUUUCAAUUACAUUCCAGUUUUUUUUUCUUUAGGUAAUGUAUCAACUUCAAGUUUUCUCUAGUGAGUAAUGAUUUGAUAUUCUUCCGUCAUAUCAGCUAUAUAAAGUGUAAGAUGAAUGAACCAAAGUGGCACCCAUUAGAAACAAAAUCAAGCACUACAGUACGCUUCUUGACAGCUACUCCCUUCGGGUUUACAUCUUCCAAAUCAUUUCUAACGAACAAAAUUGACUGGAGUUGGAAUCCCCUCCCCUCCCCUCCCCUCUUAUUCUAUUUUGUAGCUACAAUUAUAGUUUGGGUUGGAGGGGAAAGUUUCUCAACAAGAACAAAACUUCAUCUUGGAUAUAAGCACAACAGAAGGACAAAGAAACAGCAGUAGAUUCCUCCUUUUUUCUUUCAAAUAAACUUCCCGACACAAUAAAAAAACACACAGAAUGAAAACUUGGGUGAAUUAGAAGAGCCUUCACAGACCUCCUGCAUAAGUAUAUAACCAGCAUACCUGUAUGACGGGCAGCAGAGGCUCGCCGAGGCCACCCAACUGAAGAAAAAAGUGAAAGAUUUAAUGGGGUGUGUUGAGGGGAAUGAAGCCUGGUCCGAAAUCAUUCAAAACUUAAAAGAGUUUGAUUGUUUCAAAUUCAAAGGAUGAAAGAUCUCGCACCAGACAACAUUCCCCUCAACUGUUCAUAAAGAGAGAGAGAGAGAGAAAAGAAGUGUAAAGAUGGAACGAAAAGAAAGAAAGAAAGAAAGAAAGAAAGAGAGAAGGGGUUUGAUUGAGAUUUGAUUUGGCCAUGCAUUAUUUUUAACUUUCAUGGGGUCCUUUUAUACGUAAUAUGGAAAGGCUUUUGUUGGGUAUGGGCAUUGUGACAUGGACUCCACUUUCUACCCUCUCAUCUAAACCAUCUUUUCGNUUUUUUUUUUUUUUUUUUUUUUUUUUUUUUUUUUUCAGUUUUCACACCAAAAAAUGGCUACUUUCCAUGCUCAUUUCUUGAGGAAUCUCUCACAAUAUUGCAUCUUUAUGUCUAUCUACUGACUAAUAUUUAUCCUGCAAAGAUCAUUUUGGGUUAUUAAAUGUUUAGAAGUUAGUUGUGUGGAUGUUGGAUAUUGUUGUGGAUGGAAAGGCAGGGGCAGAAGGAAGGCGACACUGUGGGACUUGAAGAACAUAAAGAAAUUAAAUUUUGGUAUUCCUUUCAUUCGCACCACCCAAAUCUUAUGCUUAUGCCUGCAAAGAUGAUGAUAAAUACUUUUUAAAGAACUACCAACUCCCAUAAUUAUAGUAUGAUUAGAUGCUAAUAUAGUCAACUAUGAUAAUGACACAUUAAAAGAGAUUUAAAUUAAUGUAUUAAACAAUAGGAUAUAUUCUGAAUGCCAAACAUAUUUUGACAU